CCUACGGGAGGCAGCAGUGAGGAAUAUUGGUCAAUGGGCGGGAGCCUGAACCAGCCAAGUCGCGUGAGGGAAGACGGUCCUAUGGAUUGUAAACCUCUUUAGGCGGGGAGCAAUGCCGGGCACGCGUGCCCGGAGGGAGAGUACCCGCAGAAUAAGCAUCGGCUAACUCCGUGCCAGCAGCCGCGGUAAUACGGAGGAUGCGAGCGUUAUCCGGAUUUAUUGGGUUUAAAGGGUGCGUAGGCGGAUUUUUAAGUCAGCGGUAAAAUGUCCGGGCUCAACCCGGGCCGGCCGUUGAAACUGGGGAGCUUGAGUGGGGGAGAAGUAUGCGGAAUGCGUGGUGUAGCGGUGAAAUGCAUAGAUAUCACGCAGAACUCCGAUUGCGAAGGCAGCAUACCGGCGCCCGACUGACGCUGAGGCACGAAAGCGUGGGGAUCGAACAGGAUUAGAUACCCCAGUAGUC
This 460-nucleotide ribosomal RNA is filed under the name uncultured bacterium. Its description in RNAcentral is "partial 16S ribosomal RNA". It matches the Rfam family "Bacterial small subunit ribosomal RNA", at positions 338 to 795 of the family's 1533-position model. The record is from RNAcentral.